RNAcentral lists this ribosomal RNA (388 nucleotides) under uncultured Anaplasma sp. Its description in RNAcentral is "bacterial SSU rRNA". It matches the Rfam family "Bacterial small subunit ribosomal RNA", at positions 62 to 478 of the family's 1533-position model. Lineage: Bacteria; Pseudomonadati; Pseudomonadota; Alphaproteobacteria; Rickettsiales; Anaplasmataceae. The record is from RNAcentral.
UCGAACGGACCGUAUACGCAGCUUGCUGCGUGUAUGGUUAGUGGCAGACGGGUGAGUAAUGCAUAGGAAUCUACCUAGUAGUAUGGGAUAGCCACUAGAAAUGGUGGGUAAUACUGUAUAAUCCCUGCGGGGGAAAGAUUUAUCGCUAUUAGAUGAGCCUAUGUCAGAUUAGCUAGUUGGUGGGGUAAUGGCCUACCAAGGCGGUGAUCUGUAGCUGGUCUGAGAGGAUGAUCAGCCACACUGGAACUGAGACACGGUCCAGACUCCUACGGGAGGCAGCAGUGGGGAAUAUUGGACAAUGGGCGCAAGCCUGAUCCAGCUAUGCCGCGUGAGUGAGGAAGGCCUUAGGGUUGUAAAACUCUUUCAGUAGGGAAGAUAAUGACGGUAC